RNAcentral lists this ribosomal RNA (429 nucleotides) under Actinomycetes bacterium. RNAcentral describes it as "Actinobacteria bacterium partial 16S ribosomal RNA". It matches the Rfam family "Bacterial small subunit ribosomal RNA", at positions 355 to 776 of the family's 1533-position model. Lineage: Bacteria; Bacillati; Actinomycetota; Actinomycetes. The record is from RNAcentral.
UAGGGAAUCUUCCGCAAUGGGCGAAAGCCUGACGGAGCAACGCCGCGUGAGUGAUGAAGGUCUUCGGAUCGUAAAACUCUGUUAUUAGGGAAGAACAAAUGUGUAAGUAACUAUGCACGUCUUGACGGUACCUAAUCAGAAAGCCACGGCUAACUACGUGCCAGCAGCCGCGGUAAUACGUAGGUGGCAAGCGUUAUCCGGAAUUAUUGGGCGUAAAGCGCGCGUAGGCGGUUUUUUAAGUCUGAUGUGAAAGCCCACGGCUCAACCGUGGAGGGUCAUUGGAAACUGGAAAACUUGAGUGCAGUAGAGGAAAGUGGAAUUCCAUGUGUAGCGGUGAAAUGCGCAGAGAUAUGGAGGAACACCAGUGGCGAAGGCGACUUUCUGGUCUGUAACUGACGCUGAUGUGCGAAAGCGUGGGGAUCAAACAGG